RNAcentral lists this long non-coding RNA (1111 nucleotides) under Eutrema salsugineum. RNAcentral's name for it is "long non-coding RNA (ESAL_LNC001953)". The record is from RNAcentral. Lineage: Eukaryota; Viridiplantae; Streptophyta; Magnoliopsida; Brassicales; Brassicaceae.
AAUUUGAUAAAGCUGAGAAGAACUGUUCGAAACACCUCAUCGUUGUUCUAUUCUUUCUGUAGACGCAUAUCACAGUUUGAGAGUUUCGAGCUUCUCUGUCUCUAUUUCCAAGGUAGUGAGUGUUUCUUCUUUGCAUCGAGAUUGGAAUCUCUUGUUGAUGUGACUUCCGUUGUUUCUAGACUAGUGCCUGAAUCUUCCUUUUUUUGUUGGGUCAUGGUUCGAUCUCUUUCGACUGAUUAUGCUCAGGUUGCUUUGUUGAAUUUGAUAGCUCUUCUGAUUUCUUUCUCACAUUGAUAAGCGUAGAUAUUAUGAAUGCUAGUUCCUUUGUGCAUAGUUGUGGAUUCUCUUAAUAGGGAAUUGCACAGAGAUGGGAAGUGAAGAAAAUGAAAAGAGUGCUCUUUUCGGAAGUUUGAAUUUUUGACUCAAGUAAACACAAGGAUUUCAUUGUUCAUUGCAUUGAUUUUUCUUAAGUGGUUACAACAUCGUCACCGUAGAUUUGAUAAGUUUAUUAUUAUUGGGGAAUGACCAGGUACAUUAUCUUUAGCACCUUAUGCUCAGUUAACUACAACAAUCUGCUAUUAAUGUCUCUUGGACAUUUUUUAGGAAGUGGUUUCCCACAGAGUAACUCAUUUCCAAUGUAAAUAGACGGAUCUUCAAACUUCAGAACCUUUGGUAUGCUCCCCUCUAGUUUAUUGAACGAAAGAUUCAGCCUUUGCAAAGAAGAUAUUGCUCCCAAGCUCUGAGGAAUGGCUCCAGAAAACCUGUUUCUUGAUAGAUCAAGCGUCUCUAAGCGACUGAGUUCUGAAAUUUUCCCGGGGAUGCUUCCUGCCAUGGAGUUUCUCGAUAAAUUCAGGAUUCGAAGGUAAGAAAGGCCCAAGAUUUCUGCUGGGAAUUCUCCGGUUAUGUUGUUUCCUGAAAGAUUUAUGCUGUUGACAAUGUCUUGGUAUUCACGAGCUCUUGUAACGAUGUAGACAAGAUUCUGGAACACUUCGAAGCUUGUACCAUGAGCAAUGGCUGUGAGGUUGCUGAUGCAUUUUGGGAUCGGGCCUGAGAUCUUGUUUCCUGAGAGAUCAAGAAUGUGUAGAUUCGGAACGCUGCAGAGAUCAUCUGG